This 305-nucleotide ribosomal RNA is filed under the name uncultured bacterium. RNAcentral's name for it is "bacterial SSU rRNA". It matches the Rfam family "Bacterial small subunit ribosomal RNA", at positions 337 to 634 of the family's 1533-position model. The record is from RNAcentral.
CCCUACGGGACGCAGCAGUAGGGAAUCUUCCACAAUGGGCGAAAGCCUGAUGGAGCAACGCCGCGUGGGUGAAGAAGGUCUUCGGAUCGUAAAACCCUGUUGUUAGAGAAGAAAGUGAGUGAGAGUAACUGUUCACGUUUCGACGGUAUCUAACUAGAAAGCCACGGCUAACUACGUGCCAGCAGCCGCGGUAAUACGUAGGUGGCAAGCGUUAUCCGGAUUUAUUGGGCGUAAAGGGAACGCAGGCGGGUUUUUAAGUCUGAUGUGAAAGCCUUCGGCUUAACCGGAGUAGUGCAUUGGAAACC